Molecule: ribosomal RNA, 773 nt
Filed under: uncultured bacterium
Lineage: Bacteria
Description: bacterial SSU rRNA
Rfam family: Bacterial small subunit ribosomal RNA
Source: RNAcentral
UCGCACGAGAAAGGGGAGCAAUCCCUGAGUAAAGUGGCGCACGGGUGAGUAACACGUGACUAACCUACCCUCGAGUGGGGAAUAACCUAGAGAAAUCUCAGCUAAUACCGCAUAACACCUACGGGUCAAAGCAGCAAUGCGCUUGAAGAGGAGUUCGCGGCAGAUUAGUUAGUUGGCGGGGUAAUGGCCCACCAAGACGAUGAUCUGUAUCCGGCCUGAGAGGGCGCACGGACACACUGGAACUGAAACACGGUCCAGACUCCUACGGGAGGCAGCAGUGGGGAAUUUUGCGCAAUGGGGGAAACCCUGACGCAGCAACGCCGCGUGGAGGAUGAAAUCCCUUGGGAUGUAAACUCCUUUCGAUCGGGACGAUUAUGACGGUACCGGAAGAAGAAGCCCCGGCUAACUUCGUGCCAGCAGCCGCGGUAAUACGAGGGGGGCAAGCGUUGUUCGGAAUUAUUGGGCGUAAAGGGCGCGUAGGCGGUUUGACAAGUCUGAUGUGAAAUCUCUGGGCUCAACCCAGAGUCUGCAUUAGAAACUGUCGGGCUUGAGUAUGGGAGAGGUGAGUGGAAUUUCCGGUGUAGCGGUGAAAUGCGUAGAUAUCGGAAGGAACACCUGUGGCGAAAGCGGCUCACUGGACCAUAACUGACGCUGAGGCGCGAAAGCUAGGGGAGCAAACAGGAUUAGAUACCCUGGUAGUCCUAGCCCUAAACGAUGAUUGCUUGGUGUGACAGGUACCCAAUCCUGUCGUGCCGAAGCUAACGCGAUAAGCA